UACGGAAGGGCAGCAGUGGGGAAUAUUGCACAAUGGGCGCAAGCCUGAUGCAGCCAUGCCGCGUGUAUGAAGAAGGCCUUCGGGUUGUAAAGUACUUUCAGUCGUGAGGAAGGUGUUAAGGUUAAUAACCUUAGCAAUUGACGUUAGCGACAGAAGAAGCACCGGCUAACUCCGUGCCAGCAGCCGCGGUAAUACGGAGGGUGCGAGCGUUAAUCGGAAUUACUGGGCGUAAAGGGCACGCAGGCGGUUAAUUAAGUUGGAUGUGAAAUCCCCGGGCUUAACCUGGGAAUGGCAUUCAAGACUGGUUAGCUAGAGUCUUGUAGAGGGGGUAGAAUUCCAUGUGUAGCGGUGAAAUGCGUAGAGAUGUGGAGGAAUACCGGUGGCGAAGGCGGCCCCUGGACAAAGACUGACGCUCAUGUGCGAAAGCGUGGGGAGCGAAAC
This 441-nucleotide ribosomal RNA is filed under the name uncultured bacterium. Its description in RNAcentral is "bacterial SSU rRNA". It matches the Rfam family "Bacterial small subunit ribosomal RNA", at positions 340 to 774 of the family's 1533-position model. The record is from RNAcentral.